Molecule: ribosomal RNA, 497 nt
Filed under: uncultured bacterium
Lineage: Bacteria
Description: partial 16S ribosomal RNA
Rfam family: Bacterial small subunit ribosomal RNA
Source: RNAcentral
GAUGAACGCUGGCGGCGUGCCUAAUACAUGCAAGUCGAGCGAACAGACGAGGAGCUUGCUCCUCUGACGUUAGCGGCGGACGGGUGAGUAACACGUGGAUAACCUACCUAUAAGACUGGGAUAACUUCGGGAAACCGGAGCUAAUACCGCAUAAUAUAUUGAACCGCAUGGUUCAAUAGUGAAAGACGGUUUUUGUGUCACUUAUAGAUGGAUCCGCGCCGCAUUAGCUAGUUGGUAAGGUAACGGCUUACCAAGGCGACGAUGCGUAGCCGACCUGAGAGGGGGAUCGGCCACCAUGGUACUGAGACGAGGUCCAGAAGCCUACGGGAGGCAGCAGUAGGGAAGCUUCCGGAAUGGGCGAAAGCCUGACGGAGCAACGCCGCGUGAGUGAUGAAGGUCUUCGGAUCGUAGAACUCUGCUAUUAGGGAAGAACAAAUGUGUAAGUAACUAUGCACGUCUUGACGGUACCUAAUCAGAAAGCCACGGCUAACUACGUG